CAUUGAAACACCAGUUACCGUAAGAUCACUGAAGUUAAGCAACGCCGACCCUCGUCAGUACCUAGAUGGGUGACCGCUUGGAAAUACCCGGAGGUUGUA
Acanthosepion pharaonis is the source of this 99-nucleotide non-coding RNA. The record is from the annotation of a GenBank genome assembly. NCBI's taxonomy places the organism in Eukaryota, Metazoa, Mollusca, Cephalopoda, Sepiida, Sepiidae.